RNAcentral lists this ribosomal RNA (791 nucleotides) under Umezawaea tangerina. Its description in RNAcentral is "bacterial SSU rRNA". It matches the Rfam family "Bacterial small subunit ribosomal RNA", at positions 76 to 882 of the family's 1533-position model. The record is from RNAcentral. Lineage: Bacteria; Bacillati; Actinomycetota; Actinomycetes; Pseudonocardiales; Pseudonocardiaceae.
CCCUUCGGGGUACACGAGCGGCGAACGGGUGAGUAACACGUGGGUAACCUGCCCUGUACUCUGGGAUAAGCCUGGGAAACUAGGUCUAAUACCGGAUAUGACACUUCAUCGCAUGGUGUGGUGUGGAAAGUUCCGGCGGUACAGGAUGGACCCGCGGCCUAUCAGCUUGUUGGUGGGGUAAUGGCCUACCAAGGCGACGACGGGUAGCCGGCCUGAGAGGGCGACCGGCCACACUGGGACUGAGACACGGCCCAGACUCCUACGGGAGGCAGCAGUGGGGAAUAUUGCACAAUGGGCGAAAGCCUGAUGCAGCGACGCCGCGUGAGGGAUGACUGCCUUCGGGUUGUAAACCUCUUUCAGUAGGGACGAAGCGCAAGUGACGGUACCUACAGAAGAAGCACCGGCUAACUACGUGCCAGCAGCCGCGGUAAUACGUAGGGUGCGAGCGUUGUCCGGAUUUAUUGGGCGUAAAGAGCUCGUAGGCGGUUUGUUGCGUCGGCUGUGAAAACCUACAGCUUAACUGUGGGCCUGCAGUCGAUACGGGCAGACUUGAGUUCGGCAGGGGAGACUGGAAUUCCUGGUGUAGCGGUGAAAUGCGCAGAUAUCAGGAGGAACACCGGUGGCGAAGGCGGGUCUCUGGGCCGAUACUGACGCUGAGGAGCGAAAGCGUGGGGAGCGAACAGGAUUAGAUACCCUGGUAGUCCACGCCGUAAACGGUGGGUGCUAGGUGUGGGGGACUUCCACGUCCUCCGUGCCGCAGCUAACGCAUUAAGCACCCCGCCUGGGGAGUA